GGGGCGGUAGAGCAGCGGACUUUUAAUCCGUUGGUCGAAGGUUCAAAUCCUUUACGACCCACCA
RNAcentral lists this transfer RNA (64 nucleotides) under Pasteurella multocida subsp. multocida OH4807. Its description in RNAcentral is "tRNA-Lys (TTT) (tRNA-Lys-TTT-2-1)". It matches the Rfam family "tRNA". Rfam says of the family: Transfer RNA (tRNA) molecules are approximately 80 nucleotides in length. Their secondary structure includes four short double-helical elements and three loops (D, anti-codon, and T loops). Lineage: Bacteria; Pseudomonadati; Pseudomonadota; Gammaproteobacteria; Pasteurellales; Pasteurellaceae. The record is from RNAcentral.